AACGAACGCUGGCGGCAUGCCUAACACAUGCAAGUCGAACGAGACCUUCGGGUCUAGUGGCGCACGGGUGCGUAACGCGUGGGAAUCUGCCCUUGGGUUCGGAAUAACAGUGAGAAAUUACUGCUAAUACCGGAUGAUGUCUUCGGACCAAAGAUUUAUCGUCCAGGGAUGAGCCCGCGUAGGAUUAGCUAGUUGGUGGGGUAAUGGCCUACCAAGGCGACGAUCCUUAGCUGGUCUGAGAGGAUGAUCAGCCACACUGGGACUGAGACACGGCCCAGACUCCUACGGGAGGCAGCAGUGGGGAAUAUUGGACAAUGGGCGCAAGCCUGAUCCAGCAAUGCCGCGUGAGUGAUGAAGGCCUUAGGGUUGUAAAGCUCUUUUACCCGGGAUGAUAAUGACAGUACCGGGAGAAUAAGCUCCGGCUAACUCCGUG
Molecule: ribosomal RNA, 433 nt
Filed under: uncultured bacterium
Lineage: Bacteria
Description: partial 16S ribosomal RNA
Rfam family: Bacterial small subunit ribosomal RNA
Source: RNAcentral